RNAcentral lists this ribosomal RNA (141 nucleotides) under Shewanella algae. RNAcentral describes it as "partial 16S ribosomal RNA". It matches the Rfam family "Bacterial small subunit ribosomal RNA", at positions 1 to 129 of the family's 1533-position model. The record is from RNAcentral. Lineage: Bacteria; Pseudomonadati; Pseudomonadota; Gammaproteobacteria; Alteromonadales; Shewanellaceae.
ACUUUAAUUGAAGAGUUUGAUCAUGGCUCAGAUUGAACGCUGGCGGCAGGCCUAACACAUGCAAGUCGAGCGGUAACAUUUCAAAAGCUUGCUUUUGAAGAUGACGAGCGGCGGACGGGUGAGUAAUGCCUGGGAAUUUGC